RNAcentral lists this ribosomal RNA (447 nucleotides) under uncultured bacterium. RNAcentral's name for it is "partial 16S ribosomal RNA". It matches the Rfam family "Bacterial small subunit ribosomal RNA", at positions 29 to 523 of the family's 1533-position model. The record is from RNAcentral.
AACGAACGCUGGCGGCAGGCUUAACACAUGCAAGUCGAGCGCCUCGCAAGAGGAGCGGCAGACGGGUGAGUAACGCGUGGGAAUCUACCGUGCCCUACGGAAUAGCUCCGGGAAACUGGAAUUAAUACCGUAUACGCCCUUCGGGGGAAAGAUUUAUCGGGGUAUGAUGGGCCGGCGUUGGAUUAGCUAGUUGGUGGGGUAAAGGCCUACCAAGGCGACGAUCCAUAGCUGGUCUGAGAGGAUGAUCAGCCACAUUGGGACUGAGACACGGCCCAAACUCCUACGGGAGGCAGCAGUGGGGAAUAUUGGACAAUGGGCGCAAGCCUGAUCCAGCCGUGCCGCGUGAGUGAUGAAGGCCCUAGGGUUGUAAAGCUCUUUCACCGGUGAAGAUAAUGACGGUAACCGGAGAAGAAGCCCCGGCUAACUUCGUGCCAGCCGCCGCAGUAA